ACAAGUCAGAUUUGAUCAUCCUCUGCAUAGACCCAACCGAAGUAUCUCCACUUCAUCUUCUUCCCCUACAAUGACACAACCCCACUUCAUUGUGAUAACCUAUCCGGCACAAGGCCACAUCAACCCUUCUCUCCAACUGGCUAAGCGCCUCAUACGUGUUGGUGCCCAUGUCACAUUCGUCACUAGCACCUAUGCCAGUGAGCGCAUGGCCAAAACCCCAACCAUGGAUGGGUUAAAAUUCGUCACAUUCCCGGAUGGCUGCGACAGUGGCCUCAAGCAAAGCGAUGCCCUCCAAGGCUUCAUGUCUGAGCUUGAGCGUCUUGGCUCCCAAGCUCUUACCGACCUCCUCAUAGCCAGCGCUAAUGAAGGUCGUCCCGUUGCUUGCAUAAUCUACGGCAUCCUGAUUCCUUGGGUAGCAGAGGUGGCGCAUAGUCUUCACAUCCCCUCCGCACUUUUUUGGAGUCAACCUGUCUCUGUUUUUAAUAUCUAUUAUUAUUAUUUUUGUGGCUAUGGAGAGCUCAUUCGCAAGAAAGUCCGUGACUCCUCGCCUUCCAUUGAAUUACCAGGACUGCCCUUGCUCAGUAGCCGUGACAUUCCCUGUUUCCUACUCCCCUCAAAUGCAAAUGAAUACAACUUCGUCCUUUCAGCGUUUGAGAAGCACCUAGAGAUGCUCCACCGUGAUACCAACCCAACGGUACUGAUAAACACUUUCGAUGCAUUGGAACCAGAGGCCCUAAGGGCCGUCAGUAAGUUUAAGUCGAUUGGAGUUGGACCCUUGUUUCCAACCGCUUUCUUGGGUGGAAAAGAUCCAUCCGAUACUUCAUUUGGAGGUGAUCUUUUCCGUCGUUCAAAGGAUUAUAUUGAAUGGCUGAACUCAAAGCCUGAAUCUUCUGUCAUUUACGUGUCAUUUGGAAGCCUAGCGGUGUUAUCGAAGCAACAGUCUGAGGAGAUUGCUCGUGGAUUGCUGGACAGUGGCCGGCCUUUCCUGUGGGUCAUAAGAGCCAAGGAGAAGGGAGAAGAAGAGAAAGAAGAAGAUAAACUAAGUUGCUACGCAGAAUUAGAACAACAAGGGAUGAUAGUACCAUGGUGUUCUCAGGUUGAGGUUCUCUCAAAUCCAUCACUGGGUUGUUUCGUGACUCAUUGUGGGUGGAAUUCAACCUUGGAGAGCUUGGCUUCUGGGGUGCCAGUUGUGGCAUUUCCUCAGUGGACCGACCAAUCCACGAAUGCAAAGCUAGCCGAAGACGUGUGGAAAACGGGUGUACGGGUGACCGUGAACCAAGAAGGAAUAGUUGAAAGCGAUGAGAUUAAGAGGUGCUUGGAAUUGGUCAUGGGAGAUGGAGAGGAGGCGAAAGAAAUGAGAAGGAAUGCAAAGAAAUGGAAGGGUUUGGCAAGGGAGGCUGUGAUGGAAGGUGGAUCAUCUGACAAGAAUCUUAAGAAUUUUAUGGAUGAGGUCAUACAAGGUUACUAGCUAGAUAUUGUGGUUGUAUCUCUUGGAGUUUAUGUUAAGACUCCCCGAUUAAUUUAAAUAUUUUACAAGAAGAUUUUUAUUAUUUAUGAUGUUAAUACAAGUAGUAGUAUUAAUUAAUGGUAGAGGGCAUAUCUAAAAUUAUGGGAGAUUCAUUGCUUCCUGAAGGCCCUAUCACAAAGGAUCUGUCAAAUGCGUGGCUAAGGUGCUGUUUGGUAAAUGUCCGUUACCAGCCAAAAUUUUGCAAUUAUUGCUAAUGGGAAUCAGGGAAACCCCAAACUGGCCUUGAUGGUCCUUGCGUAAAGACCCAUCCAAUUCUUUACAUUGUGGCCACUGAUUUGGUGUCUUAUCCUCUCAUGCCCAUCACUUCAUGUUUACAAAUUGAUAUUGUAUUCAUAGCUAUUUUUGAUGAAGGUUCAAUUGGCAAGAAGUAUUUUUGCCUUGGGAAGAUGUUGGUUAUGGAUUCAAAGCAAAAUAACAGAUUAAAAAAAUGAUCCUUGUACAAAUUUUUGGGUGCCUCUAUUAAUUAAGUGAAUAUUAUUAUUUAAUUGAUAAAUUAAUAAUUUAUUAAUUUAAUUACUUAUUAAUUAAAUCUCUGGAAUAAUUCUAUUAUGGAACCUAUCUUGCACUAAGAAGCAUCCAUAGCGAUAAUAAUAUUAAAUAAAUUUUUGUUAUAGUACGAGAAUGUUACAUCAGACCUUUUUUUUUUUUUUUUUUUUUUCAUAUUAGGAAUAGUUGAAGAUGAGAUUCAAGUAAACAUCAGUUUUAAGAAGAAAUAACACAUAUAUUUUAAGAAGGAUUCUUGAUAAAACAUAUGAAUUUAAUUACACAUUAGAAAAUUAUUAAUUUCUAUAAUAUGUGGAUUUUAUAUGAAACUACAUAGAUUUUUUAUUUUAUAAAUUUAUCAAAUUAUUAGUUUAGCACGGUGGCCCCAAGUUUAGAUUAAUUAAAAAAAAUUAAUUGAAGUUCUUAAUUAAUUAAAUAUUAAAUUAUUAUAAAGUUUUAUUGUAUUUUAUUUUCAUGGUUCUAAAAAUUGGAUUGAACUAGUCGAUUUGAUUGGUUUGAGCAUUGAUUGACUAUGUAUUUUACAUAUGAGAUCGAUUAUGAGUUGCACUUUCAUCCCAAGGUAUUUUAAAAUUAGGAAAAUCAAUCCCAAGGUAUCUAUUUUUCUUUUCUUAGUCUAUUCACUAUUGUCCAAACACUCCAUAUGUGGAAUGUGGAAUGUAACUUGGAGGGGCUUGAAUAUGCAGAGUUUUAUAACUUUGCACAUUAAUGUCUCAAAGUGUUAAAAUCUUUUACAACUAAUUGUAGAUAAGUUUAGUAUUGACAAAUAAUUUUAUUACAAUUAAAUAAAAUAUUAGAAUUUUUUUAUUAUCCUACUAAUUUUAUGACAAUCAAAUUUAUACAAAAGUAAUUCUUGGUGUCUCGUGUUACUAAAAACAGAAACUCACUUAAGAACUCAUCACGCCUUUGGUGGAGAAAGAUACUUCAUGGGAUGCUAGUAUUAAUUCUCAAGCAGUGGACCUAGGUGAGAGUAAGAAGAAAACCAAAAUAGUAGAACACUCAUCUAAAUUGUCCCAAAAAAAUGGAGGACAAAAUUCCCAAGAAAGUUCAAUAAACAAGUACAAGAAAAGCCAUGAAAGCCCAUUAUUUUUGGAAACAAUGUCAAAUAUUGAAGAAAUUGUCAAAGCAAAAUAUUGAACUUUCAACUUUAGGCACUUAAACAUACUAAUAAGGGGGGGAAUGAACAUAUUACAUAUGACAGUCCUUUAUCGUCGUAUUGACUUUUUUGAUAUGGUGGUAAAGUAUGAAGUGCUUGCAAGAGGGCUAUUAUCAUAUAUGGAAAAUGAUGAGAAAUCCAUACUAUAUAUGGUGAGCUAGAAAAGAAAAAGGCAAGCUAGUGAAAAGAUGCAAAGCCUUGCACUCUAGUUACAAGACGAGUUGCUUUUGUUUGAGGUGCACUUCUACUCACCCAUUAGCCAUAAAUGUAUGCAUUAUUCACAUGCAUUCACUUGGGUCAAGCAUUUUAAUUGUUCAUCUUCAUUACCAAAAAGAAUAAGUUAUUAGCUAGCUAGGUGAUAGAUGAGAAAUAUGUAUCAAGUUAGAAAAAUGCUAAGUUACAUAAUAGGUAUCACACUGAAUUCUAAAUUUGAGCUACUAAUGUGUGGAACAAAACAUGGAUUGUAAAAUACCAAUACUAAAAGAUGAGACUUAGAUAUAAAGAAAUAAAAUAAAAUAAAGUAGAAAAAAAAUAUAAUCUUAGUAUAAUUAAUAAAUAGAAACUUGUUAGAUGCAUGAACAAAAAAGAUCAUUUUUCCACAUAUAUUGACUUUUUGUCAGCUAUCCCUUUUUUUUAUGAGGUAUGGAAAGCAAUUUCCCUAUCAUAGAAUGAUUAAUAAAUGCAUGGGAAAAUAAUUGAACACAUUAAUGAGAUUCAAAUUCAAGAUUCAUAAGCCAAGGUACCUAUUAAAAGCUGCUAGUUGACCUAUAAGUUUAAGCUGAUAGAAAAAUAAUGAUAUCAAGCUUACCAGGAUUAGAUGAAGGGAUUAUAAAAAAGAUAAAAAUAAAAUUAUUGUGUGCAUUCCAAGAAUAGCGACUUGUGAUUGUAUGAGUGGGUGCAAAAAGUGAAGUUAGCCUAUAAGAUUCAUUUCUCCAAUCCUCUCAACAAAGACCACUAGACUGCUAAAGAAUUAUUUGCUACUACAAAUGAGCAACUCCAUCAAGAAGCUAAGGAAUGGCUAAUGCUUACCAUAGAGAAUUGCACCACUCUUUCUAUUUUCAUAGCCACUGUUGCCUUUGCUACAACCUACAUGGUACCAGAGUAAAAAACUUAGAGAUAUGAAGAAAAGAAGAGAUGCGGAGCACCUAUUUGAGAGAAAAUCGGAGAGAUAAAAACUAAAAAAAUUGAACAACUUAGUAUCAUUGAUAAGAACUUUGUUUCUUAUAUACAAAUAUUCAGAAAUUAGUUACAAACAACUGAUUACUACUCAAAAAGUGCUAUUUGAUAGCUUAUAAUUAAUCCUUUUAAACACUUUUGAGUAGUAGUUUUGGCCUUUUAACUCAAUUGGCAUGUUAAGGACCCUUGAAAGCAAUUUUAAUCACUUUGUGUAAGUUUUGGUGUUUUUGUUAGUAUUUUGAUCACCAAAGCAAUUCAAGAUUGAGGAGAAUUUUGAGGAAUCUUGGGCAAAGAUUGGAAGUCAUUUGCCAAGAGUAAAUCCGAAGUGCAAGGAGAAAAAGUAAAGAGAAUCUGCCAUGAAGCAUAUUCUUGAUGACAGUCGUGGCAGCCACUUUUGGAGCACUUUCUGAAGUCCAAUUGAUGCAUGCUAUAUACCAUUUCAAAGAUCAGGAAGUCAACAAUCUAAUGCUUCAAACGGUGCACAAUUCGGAGUUGAAACGAAGAAGUUGCAGCCAUUGCAAGCCAAUCACUCCAAGCUGAAGGAAGCAUUUUCCAAAGUGUUGCGAAAUCACCCUUUUGUUGCGAAGUGAUUUCGCAGCAUUUUUGUACAGUAUGGUGUAUUUCCUCCUGAAGUUGCCCGAUAUAUGCCGCAAGCUGGAAGCUGAGAGCAUCAAGGUAGAAGCCAACUUCGCAGCCCUGCGAAGAUAGCAUGUUGUUGCGAAAUGAUUUCGCAGCCCUUCUUGAGUGUCUGCGAAAUCUCGCAGACACCAUUUUCUCUUGCGGAAUGGUUCCUGGAGCAUCCCGAUAUUUGCUACCGACAUUGGGAGAUAUUUUACAUCAGAUUUUUGUUGUCUAAAUCCCAAAAUACUCCUUGUAAGCCACCAAUUACAAGAUUCCUUAGCUUUAAGUUAGUAAAAAGAGAAAAUAUCUAUGUAAUAAUUAGUUUUAUAUUAUGUUCAUAUAAAUACCUCUCGGGAGCCUGUUCUCAGAGAGAGCCUUUUGUAAAGUUUUAGGUAAGCAAGUAAAGUUCAGUUCUUUGUAUUACCUUACCUUCUCACUUUGUAUAUUUUAUUUUCUUACUAAGUUAUGAACUCUCUGAGGAGUUUUCCCCAGAGAAUGAGUAACUAAACCUCUAAUUCCUUGGAGCUAAGGUUGCCGGGGAAGGUUCCAAGUGCAAGAAUGCAAAGCUUUGUGGUUUUAGCUAGUAAUGAAGAGGAAGUGAAAUCCUUUAGUGAUUUCUAUGUUUUUAGUUAACUUAAAACACCUUAGAGUCAUCUGGGCCAACACUUGGUAAGGCAAGUGAUUUCCAACCAUGGAAAUGCACUAGUUUACCCUUUGCGAGCCUCUGGAAGGUGACUUUAGGGUAGGAUUUUCUAGAAUAGCCAACACUUGGUAAGCUUUUGGACUCCAAGGAGACAUCCAUUAGUUAUCUCUUGCGAGCUUUUGAAGGGAAGUCCAAGGUUAAAGAUCAUCUUGAAUGGUAAGUGCUCGUGAGAGGCAUGAACCAUUGCAAGUUGUAUCAAUGAGAGAAUUAAAGUUGAAAUCCAAUUAAAGGAUGUAUCUGUACAACACCGGUUAGAGAAUUGACUAUAUGUUGAAUCUCUAACGCGAGGAAAGGAACCAUCUGACCGGAGCUAUGUCUUUUGCAUGAGGAACCACCCCAGUGAACCUAACUCUCCAAGGAAUGCUUUUCUUCCUAAGUUAUUCCGAGUACUUGUUAUGUUAGUUAGUUUAAAUCUUUACCAAUCAAAGUUUGUGUUUUAUUUCUUAAGCUAACCUUGAAAUGAAACAAGACCAAUUCACUUGGAAUUGGUAUCAUUGAUAGCUUGCUAAUCCUUCCCAGUGAACGAUCCUAGAGCCGUUAUACUAUAGUAGCUUUUUCUUUGCUACCCUAGUAUAUGGUGUUAUAGGUUAUAAAUUUUGUUGAUUACUCCCUCUAUCAAGGAGCACCAGUUGGACACGAAUCAGCUGAGACACCAAUUGGGCACGAAUCAAAUGGCGCCGUUGCCGGGGAAUGUGUCAAUUUUAUAGCGAUACCAUUUUUUAGCACUUGUGAUUGUCAUCACAAGUUUGGUAACGUUUCUUUCACUUUACUAAUUCUCAUUCUUUCUUUAUUUAUUCAUAAUCCAAGUUUAUCUUUUAAAUUCAGCUUAGUUUAAUUUUGUUUUUCGUAGCCCUGUUUUCUUUUGUUGUCCUUUAUUUUCAUUUUAGUUGCAGAUAGAUACUAGUUGUGUAUGCCAAAUUGGAUACGAGACAGUGGAGGAAGACUUGUUAAGUGUGAUACACCUCAUAACAAAGAAUUUGAGUUGAGCUUGAAUAUCAUGGAAACUACACCUGAAGAUCAGCAUAGUCACCAAGGUCGUCAAGACAAUCUCAAUGAAUUCAGAUCAAUGAGGGACCGUAUGCAUCCACCUCGUAUGAGUGCACCAUCAUGUAUAGUGCCCCCUACAGAGCAGCUAGUGAUCAGACCGUAUCUCGUUCCACUUCUACCAACUUUCCAUGGGAUGGAAAGUGAGAAUCCGUAUGCAUACAUCAAGGAAUUUGAAGAUGUUUGUAAUACAUUCCAAGAGGGAGGAGCUUCAAUUGAUUUGAUGAGGCUUAAGUUAUUUUCUUUUACUUUAAAGGAUAAAGCCAAAAUUUGGCUUAAUUCUUUAAGGCCAAGGAGUAUCCGUUCUUGGACUGACUUACAAGCUGAAUUCCUCAAGAAAUUUUUUCCCACUCAUAGAACAAAUGGCUUGAAAAGGCAAAUUUCAAACUUCUCAGCUAAAGAGAAUGAGAAAUUCUAUGAGUGUUGGGAAAGAUACAUGGAAGCUAUAAAUGCUUGUCUUCACCAUGGCUUUGAUACUUGGCUAUUGGUGAGUUAUUUUUAUGAUGGUAUGUCCUCCUCAAUGAAGCAACUCCUCGAGACAAUGUGUGGAGGAGAUUUCAUGAGUAAAAAUCCAGAGGAAGCUAUGGAUUUCUUGAGCUAUGUAGCUGAUGUUUCAAGGGGAUGGGAUGAACCAACCAAAGGAGAAGUGGGGAAGAUGAAGUCUCAACUGAGUGCUUUCAAUGCAAAGGCUGGGAUGUAUACCUUGAAAGAAGAUGAUGAUAUGAAAGCAAAAUUGGCAGCUAUGACAAGAAGAUUGGAGGAGCUGGAGCUGAAAAGAAUACAUGAAGUGCAAGCUGUUGCUGAAGCACCAGUGCAAGUGAAGCUGUGUCCCAAUUGUCAAUCAUAUGAACAUUUGGUGGAGGAAUGCCCUACAAUUUCAGCUGAAAGGGAGAUGUUUAAAGAUCAAGCAAAUGUUGUUGGACAAUUCAGGCCCAAUAACAAUGCGCCUUAUGGAUAUACCUACAACUCAAGUUGGAGGAAUCAUCCAAAUUUCUCAUGGAAGGCCAGAGCAACUCAAUACCAACAGCCGGAUCCACCACCUCAACAAACUUCAAGUCUUGAUCAAGCAAUGGCUAAUCUCAGCAAGGUAGUGGGAGAUUUUGUUGGAAAGCAAGAAGCCACCAAUGCUCAAAUCUAUCAAAGAAUUGAUAGAGUAGAGAGUAUGUUGAAUAAUAUGAUGGAUGGAAUGCAAAAUGAUAUGAACCAAAAGUUUGAUAACAUCCAAUAUUCAAUUUCAAGGCUUACAAAUUUGAAUACACUGCAAGAAAAGGGAAGAUUUCCUUCUCAACCCCACCAAAACCCCAAAGGUGUCCAUGAAGUGGAAAGCUAAGAGGGAGAAUCAUCACAGAUGAAAGAUGUCAAAGCCUUGAUCACUCUAAGGAGUGGUAAAAAAAUUGAGCAGCCAACACCCAAGCCACAUGUUGAGAAAGAAGAAGAAAUAAAGAAAGGGAAGGAAAUGAAAGAUAAAGACAGUGAGGUCAGUGAAGAAAAGAAGGACUCUGAUUCAACAAUGAAUGCAAUUCCAGAGAAGGAACUUAUGAAGGAAGAAAUGCUGAAGAAAUCAACUUCUCCACCUUUUCCUCAAGCAUUACAUGGGAAAAAGGGGGUUAGAAAUGCAGCUGAAAUCCUUGAAGUAUUGAGACAAGUGAAAGUCAAUAUUCCACUGCUGGAUAUGAUUAAACAAGUUCCAACGUAUGCAAAAUUCCUAAAGGAUUUAUGUACUAUCAAAAGAGGGUUGACUGUAAACAAGAAAGCCUUAUUGACUGAGCAAGUAAGUGCAAUCUUACAAUGUAAGUCUCCAUUGAAGUACAAAGACCCGGGAAGUCCUACCAUUUUAGUCAUGAUUGGAGGAAAGAUAGUGGAAAAAGCCUUGUUAGAUUUGGGAGCAAGUGUGAAUUUGCUUCCAUAUUCCGUCUAUAAGCAAUUGGGACUUGGUGAGUUGAAGCUAAUAGCAAUCACUCUAUCUCUAGCAGAUAGAUCAGUAAAAAUUCCAAGGGGGGUAAUUGAGGAUGUCUUGGUUCAAGUGGAUAAUUUCUACUAUCCAGUAGAUUUUAUUGUUCUUGAUACAGAUCCUACUGUAAAGGAAGCUAAUUUAGUUCCUAUCAUCCUUGGAAGGCCAUUUCUUGCUACCUCAAAUGCAAUCAUCAACUGCAGGAAUGGGCUGAUGCAACUCACUUUUGGCAACAUGACACUGGAUCUCAAUAUUUUCUAUAUGUCUAAAAAGCAAAUCACUCCGGAAGAAGAAGAGGGUCCAGAAGAGCUGUGCAUUAUUGAUACUUUGGUGGAGGAGCACUGUAAUCAAAAUAUGCAAGACAAGUUGAAUGAAAGUCUUGUGAAUUUUGAGGAAGGUUUGUCUGAAUCUCCUACUGUGCUUGCUACUCUACAAAGUUGGAGAAAGAUAGAAGAGAUUCUACCUUUGUUCAAUGAAGAAGAAGAGGCAGCUGCUGAAAAAGAAAUUCCAAAAUUCAAUCUGAAGCCUCUACCUGUGGAGCUGAAAUAUACAUAUCUUGAAGAAAAUAAUCAAUGUCCUGUUGUAAUAUCUUCAUCUCUGACCAGUCAUCAGAAGAAUUGUUUAAUGGAAGUUCUCAAGAGGUGUAAGAGGGCAAUAGGAUGGCAAAUAUCCGACUUGAAAGGCAUUAGUCCUUUAGUUUGUACUCAUCAUAUAUAUAUGGAGGAGGAAGCAAAGCCAAUUCGUCAACUUCAAAGAAGGUUGAAUCCUCAUCUACAAGAGGUGGUGCGAGCUAAGGUGCUGAAGCUACUUCAGGCAGGAAUCAUUUACCCUAUAUCUGAUAGCCCUUGGGUGAGUCCUACUCAAGUGGUACCAAAGAAGUCAGGGAUCACAGUGGUUCCGAAUGAAAAAGGAGAAGAAGUUACUACACGCCUCACUUCAGGUUGGAGGGUGUGUAUUGAUUAUAGAAAGUUGAAUGCUGUAACCAGGAAGGAUCAUUUUCCAUUGCCAUUUAUUGACCAAGUGCUGGAGAGAGUCUCUGGACAUCCAUUCUAUUGUUUCUUGGAUGGGUAUUCAGGGUAUUUUCAGAUUGAAAUUGAUGUGGCAGAUCAGGAAAAGACCACUUUUACAUGUCCAUUUGGAACAUAUGCUUACAGGAGAAUGCCUUUUGGUUUAUGCAAUGCACCUGCUACAUUUCAAAGAUGUAUGUUGAGUAUUUUCAGUGAUAUGGUGGAACGAAUUAUGGAGGUUUUCAUGGAUGACAUCACUGUAUAUGGAGGUACAUUUGAGGAAUGCUUAGUUAAUUUGGAAGCAGUUCUUCACAGAUGCAUUGAAAAAGAUCUGGUGCUCAACUGGGAGAAAUGUCAUUUUAUGGUACGUCAAGGAAUUGUCCUUGGUCAUAUCAUCUCUAAAAGAGGCAUUGAAGUUGAUAAAGCAAAGGUGGAGCUUAUUGUCAAAUUACCAUCCCCAACAACUGUAAAAGGAGUAAGGCAGUUCCUUGGCCAUGCAGGGUUCUAUAGGAGAUUUAUAAAAAGGUUUUUCAAGUCUUUCAAAACCUCUUUGUGAGCUGUUAGCUAAGGAUGCUAAAUUUAUAUGGGAUGAAAGGUGUCAGAAUAGCUUUGAUCAACUGAAGAAAUUUUUAACAGCAACUCCAAUAGUGAGAGCCCCUAACUGGCAAUUACCUUUUGAACUGAUGUGUGAUGCCAGUGACUUUGCUAUAGGAGCUGUGCUUGGCCAAAGGGAAGAUGGGAAGCCCUAUGUGAUUUACUAUGCAAGUAAAACACUGAAUGAAGCUCAAAGGAACUACACAACUACAGAGAAAGAAUUGUUAGCUGUGGUAUUUGCUUUGGACAAAUUUCGUGCUUAUUUAGUGGGGUCUUUCAUCAUUGUCUUUACUGACCAUUCAGCCUUGAAGUAUUUAUUGACAAAGCAAGAUGCAAAAGCAAGGUUGAUUAGAUGGAUUCUUUUGUUACAAGAAUUCGAUCUUCAAAUCAAAGAUAAGAAAGGAGUGGAGAAUGUGGUAGCUGACCACCUUUCCAGGUUAGUUAUAGCACAUAAUUCCCAUCCCUUGCCUAUUAAUGAUGAUUUUCCUGAAGAAUCACUCAUGUUCUUAGUGAAAACUCCUUGGUAUGCUCAUAUUGCUAAUUAUUUAGUAACUGGUGAAAUUCCAAGUGAGUGGAAUGCACAGGACCGGAAGCACUUCUUUGCCAAAAUUCAUGCUNNNNNNNNNNNNNNNNNNNNNNNNNNNNNNNNNNNNNNNNNNNNNNNNNNNNNNNNNNNNNNNNNNNNNNNNNNNNNNNNNNNNNNNNNNNNNNNNNNNNCCCUAACUGGCAAUUACUUUUGAACUGAUGUGUGAUGCCAGUGACUUUGCUAUAGGAGCUGUGCUUGGCCAAAGGGAAGAUGGGAAGCCCUAUGUGAUUUACUAUGCAAGUAAAACACUGAAUGAAGCUCAAAGGAACUACACAACUACAGAGAAAGAAUUGUUAGCUGUGGUAUUUGCUUUGGACAAAUUUCGUGCUUAUUUAGUGGGGUCUUUCAUCAUUGUCUUUACUGACCAUUCAGCCUUGAAGUAUUUAUUGACAAAGCAAGAUGCAAAAGCAAGGUUGAUUAGAUGGAUUCUUUUGUUACAAGAAUUCGAUCUUCAAAUCAAAGAUAAGAAAGGAGUGGAGAAUGUGGUAGCUGACCACCUUUCCAGGUUAGUUAUAGCACAUAAUUCCCAUCCCUUGCCUAUUAAUGAUGAUUUUCCUGAAGAAUCACUCAUGUUCUUAGUGAAAACUCCUUGGUAUGCUCAUAUUGCUAAUUAUUUAGUAACUGGUGAAAUUCCAAGUGAGUGGAAUGCACAGGACCGGAAGCACUUCUUUGCCAAAAUUCAUGCUUAUUAUUGGGAAGAGCCCUUUCUUUUUAAGUAUUGUGCAGAUCAGAUCAUAAGGAAGUGUGUUCCUGAAGAUGAGCAGCAAGGGAUUCUAUCUCAUUGUCAUGAGAAUGCAUGUGGAGGCCACUUUGCCUCUCAGAAAACAGCUAUGAAGGUGUUGCAAUCAGGGUUUACUUGGCCAUCUCUUUUCAAAGAUGCCCACAUCAUGUGUAGAAGUUGUGACAGAUGCCAAAGGCUUGGAAAGCUAACAAAAAGAAAUCAAAUGCCUAUGAACCCCAUUCUAAUAGUUGAGCUAUUUGAUGUAUGGGGCAUUGACUUCAUGGGACCUUUCCCAAUGUCUUUUGGUAAUUCUUACAUCUUGGUGGGGGUGGAUUAUGUUUCUAAAUGGGUUGAGGCAAUCCCCUAUAAACAAAAUGAUCACAGGGUGGUUCUCAAGUUUCUUAAAGAGAACAUUUUCUCAAGAUUUGGGGUGCCCAAAGCCAUAAUCAGUGAUGGAGGUGCUCAUUUUUGCAACAAACCUUUUGAAGCUCUGUUAUCCAAGUAUGGAGUGAAGCAUAAGGUGGCUACACCUUAUCAUCCUCAGACUUCCGGGCAAGUUGAGCUAGCUAACAGGGAAAUAAAGAACAUAUUGAUGAAAGUGGUGAAUUCCAGUAGAAAAGAUUGGUCUAUUAGGCUUCAUGAUUCAUUGUGGGCAUAUAGAAUAGCUUAUAAGACUAUUCUUGGGAUGUCUCCUUAUCUUCUUGUCUAUGGCAAAGCAUGCCAUCUCCCUGUGGAAGUUGAAUACAAGGCUUGGUGGGCAAUAAAGAAGUUAAACAUGGAUUUGGUCAGAGCCGGAGAAAAGAGAUAUCUAGACCUUAAUGAGAUGGAGGAAUUAAGAAAUAAUGCUUAUAUCAAUUCCAAAGUUGCAAAACAGAGGAUGAAGAAGUGGCAUGAUCAACUCAUCUCCAACAAGGAAUUUCAGGAAGGGCAAAGAGUUUUACUGUAUGACACAAGACUCCAUAUCUUUCCUGGGAAGCUCAAGUCAAGGUGGAUAGACCCGUUCAUUAUUCACCGAGUAUAUUCCAAUGGAGUGGUGGAAUUAUUGAAUUCAAAUGGCAAGGAUAGCUUUAGAGUCAAUGGAUAUCGUCUCAAGCCAUUCAUGGAUCCAUUCAAACCAGAAAAGGAGGAAAUCAACCUCCUUGAGCCUCGAAAAGCCUAAGCAAAGAAGGGUUUGCUGGACGUGGUUUACCACAGUCCAAAAUUUUUGUAAAUUUUGUAAAUUUUCAAGUUUUUUUUCCAUACAUUUGAUCUUAGUUUUUGAUCUUAAAUCAUGUUUUUAGGUGUGUUUUAAUCUUUUUGAAUGAUCCCAGGUGGAAGAAAUUGCAAGGAAAUUGAAAGGAAAAGAAUCGGAUAAAAAACAGAGCAAAAACAGAGCAAAAAACAGAGCUCUGCGAGAUUUCGCAGCCUCUGCGAAAUCAGCACUAUGCUGCAAAACCAUUCCGCAACACUUUGGAGUUCUCUGCGAGAAUUUUCGCAGCUGCGAAGGCGAUUUUGGCACACGAGUGCCACUUUGCAGCACAGGAGCCCUCAUUUGGCAGCUGCGAAACGCAUUGCGAAGUGGUAAAGCCUGAUUUCGCACCAAAAGUCCCAUUCCGCAGGGUAUUUUGCAAUUGCGAAAGCGAUUUUGGCACACGUGUGCCACUUCGCAGCACAGUAACAUUAAUUUCGCAGCUGCGAAAUGCAUUGCGAAGUUGCUGCGAAAAUGACAUUUUGCUGCGAAAUUGGCAUUUUGCUGCGAAACUCAAACUGACCCUUAGUCUUCCCUUAUUCCUAUUUAUACCGGUCAUUUGAGUUGCGAAAAGGGUUUCAAAAUCAGAGCGCGCCAUUCUCGCAGACCGUCCAUCUCCUUCUUCAAGCCUCACCGCGCAAGCCUCCGGUCAUCUUCUCCGACCAUCCGUUCCGGCCAAACUUCGGUAAUCCGAAAUGGCGCGAACAAGAGGGGCUAAGUCUCCAUCUCCUUCGAGCCGCAAGAGAAGCUUGCGAAAGGAACCAGUUCCAGAUCCUAUCCCUGACCCUCCGCAGCCGAAAGCAAUUCCUCCUCCGGUGAAGCCCGCGCUGCCAAAGCCUCCGGUAAAGCCCGCGCCGCCAAAACCUCCGGCAAAACGAUACCUAACCAGGUCAGGGGGUCGGCCACUGCAAAAGAAACCCAGGGUGGAGAGCUUAGAACCCAUCGAUUUGACUGAGCAAUCUCCAGAGCCCUCGCCGGCUCCAACUCCAGUUCCCUCGCCAAUUCAGCCUCCGGUGCCAUCUCCGACGCCGCAAGCAAAAUCUCAGGAGACUCAAGCGCCACUUCCCGAGCCCCAAAUUCCAUCUGAAAUAGCUCCGGAAGAAGUAAUCAGGAGGCCGAUGCUGACCCAGCUCCCAAUUGAGGGAAAUUUGGAUUGUAGAACUCGGCCAUUCCACUCCGAGCUAGGCUUUGACAUAUCUACAUUCCAAUUGCAGCCGGAGCUUGCACAGUCAUUCAACCUUCUAAGAAGGUACCAUAUGGAGCAUCUGCUGACUCCGAGAGACUUUUUCUACCCAAGGGUGGCCAUGGAUUUCUAUCAAUCCAUGACAACCAACCAGGUCAGGGAUCCAACUUUAAUUCAUUUCACUAUUGAUGGGAGGCAUGGCAUAUUGGGAGCACGCCAUAUAGCUGAAGCCUUGCAAAUUCCCUAUGAGCCGACCCAAUUCGAUAAUUUUAGAGCUUGGACCAAUCCUACUGAGCUGGAGAUGGUGCGCACCCUAUCCAGAGGAGCUGCCAAUCGAUCAUAUCUGUUGAGGGGGGAGCUUCCUCCAAUCAUGUUUUUGAUUGAUGCAUUUUUGCGUCAUAACCUCUACCCAUUGCAGCAUUGGACUCAAAGAAGAGGAGUCCUCUUAGAAGCCCUGUACAAGAUGUCUGAAGGAUUUUUCUUUGGGCCUCAUCAUCUGAUUCUGGCAGCCCUUCUCUAUUUCGAAGAGAAGGUACACAAAAAGAAGCUUCAGAGAGCUGAUUGCAUUCCCCUCCUCAUUCCAAGGCUGCUAUGCCAAAUUCUGGAGCACUUGGGGUAUCCUUCUGAACCUCAAUUGGAGCGCAAACGCAUUUGCCGUGAGCUUUUCACUCUUAACAAAUGGAACAACAUGACAGCUUAUCGAGUUGACCAGCCUGAGCGCCCACAGCCAGCUGUAAGGAGAGCAUCCCCACGACACAUACCUGAGGGUAUAACAGUUGCUGCUCCUGCCAUUUGCAGAGCUCCACCAGCUGCUCCAGCUUCAUCUCAGCCAUCCACUUCAGCUGAGCCGAGGAUGGCCAUACCCAUUUCUGAAUAUCGAGAGUUGUGCCGUGCAUUGCAGACCCUCACAGCUUCUCAGAGCAGUCUUGCUCAAGAGAUGGCAGCCAUUAGAGCAUGCCAAGAGCAGAUGUUGGCCACUCAGGCUCAACAAGCUGCCAUCUUAAGGCAGCUCCAGCUUCAUUUCAACCUGCCACCAGCUGUUGAGCCCUCCACUUCUACUCCAGCAGAGCCACACUCUCAUCCCUCAGAGCCUCAAGCCCCAGCUGAAGCACCAACUGAAGAGGCAGAUCCAUCUGCCUAGCCCCAGCACCACCCACUCAUCAGAUCAUUAUAUAUAUAUCUACUAUCUUUGUUUUAUGUAUUUCGUUUUUUAGUUUGAAAGAAAUCCCAUUAUUUUGGUAUUAUAUUUGGGAUUGCUUGUAUUACUUUUCUUUUGCAUUGUACUUAAAUGGAUUCAAAGUAAUACAAGUUUAAUAUUUCUUGUUAACAGUUAGCAUUAAGUUAUCCUUAUUUCCUUUUCUCACAUAUUCUAUUCUUUUUGAAACAUGUGGUUUCUCCAAUUAGUAUGCGAAUUUGAUAUCACACAGGAGGUACCACUUCCUCCCUUUAAUUACAGUCACUCAUAUCACAUUGAGGACAAUGCUCAGUUCGGUUGGGGGGAAUGAGGAAGGAAGUUAUGCUAAAUUAAAGGAAGUAUGCUAAGCCUUUUUAGUAAUGCAAUUAUUUUGGUAAAUUAGUUGUAGUUUUUGUUUUUUACUCUUUUUACUCUAUUCUCCAUGAAUCUUGAGGAAAAAUUUUCAAAUUAAAACAGGAAAAAUUGAACUGUUGUUUUUCACUUGACUUAGAGUAUGGAUUAUGCUCACUAAAGUGGUUCAAUUGUUGAAGCUUCUAUUGAAAUUGAAUUUAGUUCUUCCACUUUAAGCUAUUCACACACUGUGCACAUUAGAUUCCGAUUAUAAGAUGAAAAACUAUUUCCCUCUUGACUUAGGAUAAUUUUGGGACUUGGUAUAUUUGACCUCAUUUGAUAAAAAUUGAAACACCCUGCAAAAGGCCAAUGAGCCUUUGAAAUAAAGAAAGUUGUUUGCUUGCCUUAAAACCCGAGCAAGGUCUGAGAGGUAUAUGGUGAAAAUCUUUGAAGCCUGGUGCCCUAAGCCUUAAUUGGUUGGGAGUCACCGACCUCAAUGCUCGUUACAAGGGUGAAUAGGUAGAGUAGCAUAUGGUAGGUGCUUGGGUAUUAAAAAUUCAUUCUCAAAAGUCCGGGGAAAAAUCCGAGGAGUUAGUGGUUGAAAGAUCCUUAAAGCUUGGUGCCCUAAACCUUAAUUGGUUGGGAGUCAUCGAUGGACCCCCAUUACAUGGACAAUACAGAAAGAGUACCCCAUAAGUUCUUUGUUAAAAAAAAAAAAAAAAAAAAAAAAGUGUGUUCUUUCUUUAUUGAUUUUGGUCAGUUUGCUAAGUGUUGAAAAGAGAUAGGUUGGGGGGAGAGAUUAGUUUAGCAUAUUAUUCUCGGAAGCUAAGGAACCAAUACACAUAGAUUUUUGAGGAAGAAUAAAGUUUGGUUCUUUGAAAGUGGAAAUGAUUUUAAAACUUCAGUUUGCAUAAUGCAUUCCCUUGUUUGACAGUGUUUAGCAUAGUUUGUUAUAACUCUUGUUGAAAUUUGCUUUUAUAUUUCUUUAAGGUUUCAUGAGAGAAUUAGAUCAUCAUGCCACUUGAGAAUUGUUUUUGAUCAGCAUGAUGUUGUAAAUUAUAGUUUAAUUUGUUGUUUAUUUUCAUUUUUCUCUCCUAUAUUGCUAAGGGACUAGCAAUAUGUCGGUUGGGGGGAGUGAUUACUACUCAAAAAGUGCUAUUUGAUAGCUUAUAAUUAAUCCUUUUAAACACUUUUGAGUAGUAGUUUUGGCCUUUUAACUCAAUUGGCAUGUUAAGGACCCUUGAAAACAAUUUUAAUCACUUUGUGUAAGUUUUGGUGUUUUUGUUAGUAUUUUGAUCACCAAAGCAAUUCAAGAUUGAGGAGAAUUUUGAGGAAUCUUGGGCAAAGCUUGGAAGUCAUUUGCCAAGAGUAAAUCCGAAGUGCAAGGAGAAAAAGUAAAGAGAAUCUGCCAUGAAGCAUAUUCUUGAUGACAGUCGUGGCAGCCACUUUUGGAGCACUUUCUGAAGUCCAAUUGAUGCAUGCUAUAUACCAUUUCAAAGCUCAGGAAGUCAAUAAUCUAAUGCUUCAAACGGUGCGCAAUUUGGAGUUGAAACGAAGAAGUUGCAGCCAUUGCAAGCCAAUCACUCCAAGCUGAAGGAAGCAUUUUCCAAAGUGUUGCGAAAUCACCCUUUUGUUGCGAAGUGAUUUCGCAGCAUUUUUGUACAGUAUGAUGUAUUUCCUCCUGAAGUUGCCCGAUAUAUGCCGCAAGCUGGAAGCUGAGAGCAUCAAGGUGGAAGCCAACUUCGCAGCCCUGCGAAGAUAGCAUGUUGUUGCGAAAUGAUUUCGCAGCCCUUCUUGAGUGUCUGCGAAAUCUCACAGACACCAUUUUCUCUUGCGGAAUGGUUCCUGGAGCAUCCCGAUAUUUGCUAUCGACAUUGGGAGAUAUUUUACAUCAGAUUUUUGUUGUCUAAAUCCCAAAAUACUCCUUGUAAGCCACCAAUUACAAGAUUCCUUAGCUUUUAAGUUAGUAAAAAGAGAAAAUAUCUAUGUAAUAAUUAGUUUUAUAUUAUGUUCAUAUAAAUACCUCUCGGGAGCCUGUUCUCAGAGAGAGCCUUUUGUAAAGUUUUGGGUAAGCAAGUAAAGUUCAGUUCUUUGUAUUACCUUACCUUCUCACUUUGUAUAUUUUAUUUUCUUACUAAGUUAUGAACUCUCUGAGGAGUUUUCCCCAGAGAAUGAGUAACUAAACCUCUAAUUCCUUGGAGCUAAGGUUGCCGGGGAAGGUUCCAAGUGCAAGAAUGCAAAGCUUUGUGGUUUUAGCUAGUAAUGAAGAGGAAGUGAAAUCCUUUAGUGAUUUCUAUGUUUUUAGUUAACUUAAAACACCUUAGAGUCAUCUGGGCCAACACUUGGUAAGGCAAGUGAUUUCCAACCAUGGAAAUGCACUAGUUUACCCCUUACGAGCCUCUGGAAGGUGACUUUAGGGUAGGAUUUUCUAGAAUAGCCAACACUUGGUAAGCUUUUGGACUCCAAGGAGACAUCCAUUAGUUAUCUCUUGCGAGCUUUUGAAGGGAAGUCCAAGGUUAAAGAUCAUCUUGAAUGGUAAGUGCUCGUGAGAGGCAUGAACCAUUGCAAGUUGUAUCAAUGAGAGAAUUAAAGUUGAAAUCCAAUUAAAGGAUGUAUCUGUACAACACCGGUUAGAGAAUUGACUAUAUGUUGAAUCUCUAACGCGAAGAAAGGAACCAUCUGACCGAAGCUAUGUCUUUUGCAUGAGGAACCACCCCAGUGAACCUAACUCUCCAAGGAAUGCUUUUCUUCCUAAGUUAUUCCGAGUACUUGUUAUGUUAGUUAGUUUAAAUCUUUACCAAUCAAAGUUUGUGUUUUAUUUCUUAAGCUAACCUUGAAAUGAAACAAGACCAAUUCACUUGGAAUUGGUAUCAUUGAUAGCUUGCUAAUCCUUCCCAGUGAACGAUCCUAGAGUCGCUAUACUAUAGUAACUUUUUCUUUGCUACCCUAGUAUAUGGUGUUAUAGGUUAUAAAUUUUGUUGAUUACUCCCUCUAUCAAGAAGCACCAGCUAGACACGAAUCAGCUGAGACACCAAUUGGGCACGAAUCAACAACUAACAACCUAUUAACUACUUAACAACUCUAACUAACAUCCAACCUCAAGCACAUAGGGUGAGAAAGAACUAUGAGCUUGCUCUAGAGAUGAAGGAAAUGCUGAGUGGAGAGAGCUUUGGUUAAGAUAUCAACAGCUUGGUCUCCAAAUGGAAGAAAUCAAACAUCAAAAGUUUUCUACGGGACUCAUUCUUAAACAAAAUGAUAAUUAAUUUCCACAUGUUUAGCCCGAGAAUGAAGGACAAGAAUUACAGCCAAAUAACAUGAACUAAAACAGGGGAACAAAGGGCUCUUUAAGAAAGGAUUGAAUCUAAGUGAGUACGACCGUUGCAUUGGCCAAGCCCCUAUACUCGGACUCGGUAUAAGAGUGUGAACCACCUUUUGUUUAGAAGCUGACUAAGAGACCAGAUUACCACAAAAAAAAAACAAAAAAAAAAAACAAAACACAGUAGCCACUAGUGCUACGUCUAUCAUUAGGGCAAGAUACCCAAUCGACAUUUGUAUAAGCAACAAGAUUGAGUGAGGAAGAUGGUUGGAAAAAAAAAACCCAUAAAACAACAAACCUUUGAGAUAACAAAUAACAUGCUUCAUAUCUUGAAAAUGAGUAGAGGUUGGAGCAUGCAUAAAUUGGUAAAUCUUAUUAACAGUAUAAGGAGUGUUUGGUCUAGUGAUUUUGCAAUACUGAAGGGCACCUACAAGACUCUAAUAGAAAGUGGGAUCCUCUAAUUUGGUACCAUCAACUAUGAAUAAAACAAGACCAGUAGCCAUUAAAGAAGCAACAAGCUUUGAUUCCAACAAAUCAACAUGCUGAAGAAGAUCACAAAUGUAUCUAUCUCGGCUUAAAUGCAAAGAAAAUCCAAAAUUGAGCACCUCUAUUCUAAGAAAGAAAUUGAGAGGACCAGAUUCUUGAGAGCAAAGCAAGAGUUUAAGGAAGAUAUAAGUUGUUCAAUGAGCAAGGAAUUUGAAUUAGUGACAAUAAUAUCAUCGAUAUAAACUAAGACAACAAGCAUGAUAGAAUUGUUAUGGUAACCAAACAUUGAUGUAUCUACUUAAGAUAUGGAAAAACCCCAUUUAAAUAAUGCAGAAUUCAGUUUCGUGAACCAAGCCCAUGGAGUUUGCUUCAAGCCAUACAAGGCCUUGGUAAGCUUACAAACAAAAUUGGGCUUAGAAGGAUCCACAAAACCCGGGGGUUGUAUCUAAAAACUUGCUCAAAUAAAUCACCAUUAUGAACAUCAAGUUGUUGGAUAGACCAAUUUCUACUCAAUGCCAAAGAGAGAACCACACUAAAGGUUUAACCACAAAACUAAAGGUUUCAAAGAAAUCAAAACUGUGAGUUUGAUGGAAUCCUUUCACCACUAAAUGUGCCUUAUAACAAUCAAUAGUUCCCUUAGGUUUAAACUUCAAUUUAUAAACCCACUAACAUCCAAUGGUAUUCUGAUUAGACGGAGGAGGAACCAUGACGUAUGUUUUAUUUUUCAUAAGAGCUUCAAAUUCAAGAUGCAUAGCCUAUUGCCAUUCAGGAACUUUAGCAGUUUCCUUAAAGGAAUCUAGUUCACAAAGUGGAGGAAAAAUAGUCUUAGUAGGAGACAAAUAUAACUUGAGUUCGAAAAUGCCAUUUUUGGCACGUAUUAUCAUGAGAUGACAAGGAGUAAGAACAUAAGAGGAAAGAGGUUGGGUUGUUGGAAUUGCUGUAACCUUAGAAAAGGAAAUUGACACACUAGAAUUAGAUAUUGGAACCAACUUUGAAGGUGGACAUAAUGGGGGAGGUAAGAGGGAAGGUAUUGGAGAUGAUGGUACUACCAAGGGAAUGACACAAUGAGAGGGGGAAACAGAAUAAGAAGUUUGAACUAUGGAAGACUUAGCAAAUCGGAAAUCUAGUUCAUAAAAAAUAACAUGUCGUGAUAUAUGUAUUUUAUGAUUGGACAUGUUUAAAUAAAGAUAUCCUUUAUGCUUAGAACUAUAGCCAAUAUUUUAACGGAUUGAUAUGCAAGUUUAUGACAAUUAAAAUGAUGUAGAAAAGGAUAACAAAUGUAGCCAUAGACAUGAAGAAAAUAAUAAUUUGGUAGACAAUGGUAAAGAGUCUUAUACGGAUCGAGAAGAGAUAUUCAACAUAGAGGUAGGAAGUCUAUUAAUCAAAUAUAAGGUAGAUUGGAAAACAAAAGGUCAAUAUUUAAGUGGAAUAGAAGCACGAGCAAGCAAAGAAAGACCUAUUUCAACCACAUGUCUAUGUUUUCUCUCCACAUGACCAUUUUGUUGAAAAGUAGAUGGACAAGAUAUUCUAUGCAGAAUCCUAAAUUUACAUAAAGUAUCAAUAAAGGCUUGAAACUCCCCUCCCUAAUCAGUUUGAAGCACUCUUAACUUUAGUGUCAAAUUGAGUCUCAGUUAUCACUUUAAAUUGCAAAAAAACAGAGAUAGCUUGAUUUUUAAAAGCUAGUAGAUACAACCCCAAGAAAAUCUUGUAUGGUCAAUUGGAAAAAAGUACAAAGUAUCUUGCAUCAUUAGCACCAACAAUAACGGUAGGACCCCAUAGAUCAAAAUGUAUAAGAGCAAAAGGCUAAGAGACUCUGGAUUUAGACAAAGUAAAAGGUAAGUGAUGACUCUUUGCCAUUUGACAAGGUUCACAAAUACCUAUCCAAUGUUCUGAGGGCAUACUACAAUCACUCAAAACUUUAUUCACUAUUUUACGUGCAAGAUGGCCUAAUUAAAAUGUCAUAGAGCUACCUUAUUGGGAAGUUGUAAUGCAAAUAACAUACACGGGACCUCAAUUGCCAAGCUUGUUCUUCUAACAAUUUUAUUACCUUUAGAAUCUAUAUUUUUUUUACCAGAAACUGAAGAUGACAAUUUGUAUAAACCAUGGUUAAGGUUGCCUUGGAGAAGAGCCUUCUUUGAAGCUUGAUCCUUCAUCACAAAUCCAUUAGUAAAGAAUUCCAUAGUAACAUUAUUGUUAGUACACAACCUAUUCACACUUAUCAAAUUGGUUGUAAGUUGUGGAACAUGUAGAAUAUUCUUUAGAUUUAAAGACUGAGAAACUGACAAAAUAGUAGAGUAUCCAAUAUUUGAGAUAUUUAAGCAACUACAGUUUCCAACGACAACUUUGUCCAAACCAGCAAAUGGAGUAUGUGCAUUCAAGUUCUUGAAAUUUAAAGUUAGGUGAUAUGUAGCUCUAGUAUCCAUGUACCAACUUCCAUCUGCAAUAGUGGCCAGAGUUGCAAUCAUUGCAGCAAGAUGAGGUUACUCAAUUCUUAGGGUUCUUUUUCCUCAUUGGUUUUUGACUCGGAUGAGUUAACUUAGUUCCUAGAGCUCUUCCUCAAUGACAAACAAUUUUGAUUAGAGUGUGGCAAGGAGUUCAAUGAGCAAGCUGGUGAUUGAUCAAGGCCUCACUAGUGAUGAGGACGUCGGUGAUAGCAACAAUCUAGUUGGAGAAACGAUUUUUUCCAACACCCUCAAACACCGCAAAAAUGAUCAUAUCGUCAUCAUGAUCUUAGAUAAGAGAAACUUAAAGUUUUGUUUAUUCCAAUUUCAAAUUGAAAACAAAAUUGUAGAGCACUAGAUACAAAAUAAAAAAAAAAUAAAAGAACGAAAAAUCACUAUAGAAACCUUAGAAAACACACUAGGAAGAAAAAUCAUAGACAAACUCACAGAAGAAUUUUAUGGCUUUAGGAGUUGGAGCCGGAGUUGGAGAAGAGUCUUAAUGGACAUUGAGGAAGGACAAGAAGAGGUGUUCAACUAUAAUUUAUGUAGGCUAUAUUGUAAAGGUUGGCUUUAAAAUGUAUCUAGUAGCGACCUAAUUAGGGUUCAAAGUAUCGGCCAAGUCUGAUACGACUCGGCCGAGUCAUAUCUGUCUCGACACUUGUCGCAACGAGACCGAUACCAGAUACAAUAUAAUGCAUGAACUCGACUGGGAAUCGGUUAGACUUUGCUAAGUUUUCGAGUUAACUCGGUUGACUCGGUUAGGUUAUAAAGAAUUUUCAAAUUUUUCAUAAAAUUGAAAAUAAUAAUAAUAAUAAAUCAGAGAUUGCCCUUUCAAAAGCAAACACCUAUUUUAAAAUUUUAAACCAUCAAUGAGAAGAUCAAAGAAGACCAAGAAGAAAAAACCUAACCUGUGACUCGUUCGGAAAUAAGUGGAGAAACCACCAAAGGAUGAGGGCAUAAUUUAGGAUUUACUUACUUGAUUUUCCUCAAAAUCGAGCAUUACCGAAGGGUGGAGCUUUGGUGUCGGCGAUGGUGACUCAUCAAGUGGAUUGAAUCUUUCACCGGGGACAUCAACAAGACAACCCCCUCAUAGUCAGAUUGCUCCCCCUCCCGUGUUAGGUCUUGCACGGUUGCAAAUUUGCGAUUGUAGGUGGUAUCGUCUAUUUUGGGUCUUGACAGUAAUGAUGACGUGCGAGGGUGGGAGAUUGGGAGCUUAAAUUAGUAAAGUAAAAAAUUGCAUUUUAUAUGGAUUUACAUGGAGAAUUGAGUCCCUGAUUUACAUGGAAAAUACCUUUCAUAUACACACUUUAAUAUGAUUUAAUAGUAACAUAUUAGGAGAAUUGAGUACCCGAUUUGCUAAAGUAAAAUGAUAUGAAAGGUAUAGAUGAAGUUUAAUGAUAAAUUAAAGUGUUUAUAUAGCAAAGUGAAAAUUAAAUCCUCAAUUUUUAAUAUUAUCACAAAAUAACUUUGAGCUAAAUGUGAAAAAAAAAUGGUUUUAUUAAAAUUUUCACCUUAUUUAAUUAUAUCUAUUUUAUUUUUUGAUUUAUAUAAUAUUUUUAUAAUUUUUUGAAAAUUUUAAUUAUCUUAUUUUACGUAUCGUCCAAUACCGAACCGAAACACUGAAACCAAUAUGCCUCGUGAUCCUCCGAGUCAAUGAUCGAUACCACGACUUUGAACCAUGGACCCAAUGGAAGUGGAGUCUAUAGGAACAUCUAUGGUAACGAUCCAAAAAUUAUUGCAGGCAUAAGAGAAUAUAUAAUAGCACUUUCAACAGUAAUCAUGACUAUGUAUCUUUCCUGGAAAUUUCCCACCAAUCCCAAUCCCAACCCCUUUAGAUGCAUGUGGUUGGAAUAUGCAUGAAGCUAUAUAUUACGUGGUUGGGAUAUGAAUGAGGCUAUAUACUAUUUUUAGUUGUGGAUUUUCUUAGCCCCUACUAAAACUAUGUCGCCAUUUCCUAUUCUUCUUGUAAUGUCAAGUUGGAAAGUUAAAUUUAAUUUAAAAACUUUCUAAAUAUUAAAUUUAGAGUUAGUUUCUAAAUGUUAAGGAGAACAUUUUAUUUUGAAUGAUUAUUUAGUUUUUGUAUUUGAGUAUUCAAGUCCUGAAAGGUCUCUAUAUUUCAUUAUUAAGAUUUUCUAUUUAGACAAAUGUGAGUAUAUUUAUAAACAAAAAAUUAUAUAAUAUAUACAUUUUUUAUAAAAAAAAAAAGCAAUAAAAUACAAUAAAAUUUUAAUUCUCUCCUAUUUUUAUCUUUUUUAUAAGUGUGUGUUUAUCUUUCAUCUAGAUAACUCACACAAUACUAACACAAUGAGAGUAAAAGGAGAAGGGCAAUAAAGAGUUGGGGCCGGAGAUCAUUGGAGGAACGGGUCAACUGUAGGCCGGUUGUCAAUGGGCUCAUAUAAGUAACAAAAAUUGGAAAUGGUUUCUAUAUCUUAGUGUCGUGUCUAGAAGACGACAAUCUACCUGUCAGUGUGCAGCAGAAGAGAAAGCGUGAUAUCUACUUAGAGUCAAAACAAAGGGAACCAGCUCGCAAUUCCUCCGAUACAUCAUUACCGACGUCAUAGCUCUAUUCCCCCAAUUCGUCACUACCAACGUCAUUCUAUCUCCAUUACGCAUUAUUUAAAGAGUCCCCAUGCAGAAGCUGUUCGAAACACAAGUCAGCUUUGACACAACCCCACUUCAUUGUGAUAACCUAUCCGGCACAGGUCCCUGUCCAAAGACCCAUCUUACUCUUUACAUUGUGGCCACUGAUUUGGUAUCUAAUCUCAGGCAAAAUUCACUGGUUUGAUGAAGGUUAUAGAACAAAACUUGUGUUAUUCUUAUCUUUGGUUUUGAUGAACUUUAAAGCAUUUAAAAAGAUUCAACUGGUAAGAAGUAUUUUUGCCUUGGGAAGAUGUUGGUUAUGGAUUAAAAGCAAAAAAGACCCUUGUACAUAUUUUUGGGUACCUGUCAAGCAAAUUAAUGCACAUCCGAACAUCACAACUGUUGUCUCUUAAAUUCUUCCAAUUGACCUGCUUUCGUCUUAUUGAGCGUCUGGGUUACUUGAUAAUGCAAAAACUCAUACAGUUAUUUCGAUAAAUUAAGAGCCUCGGGCAUCAAGGAAAAUCUAUUAUUACUUAAUCGAUAAAUUAAUAAUUUAUUAAUUUAAUUGCUUAUUAAUGAGAUCUCUUGAAUAAUUCUAUUAUGGAACAAGACACCAUAACAAUAUUAAAUAAAUUUUUGUCAUAGUAUGAGAAUACCACACUAGAUGUAAUAUGAGAAUGUCAUAUUUAAUUAGGGCCUUGGCUUAAAAUAAGUAAAUAAAUAAUUAAUAAUUAAAAUAUAAAUACUAGACUCACAUUUUAAACAAACACUUCUAAACUCUCAGACUCUACAAAGAACAUACACAAAGAAAUCUAGGUUCCAGAUUUGAGUGAAGAGAAAGAGAAUUUGAUUUUUUUUGUUCUUUUGUGAAAAUUUCAUGGUAAGUGAUACUUCUUAAAGUUUUCUUUUUUUUUUUUUAUAGUUUUUCUUCUUAGAAACUUUAAUUUCCUAAUAAGAUUAAAAAAGAAUUAAUGAAAACAAGAAAUUAAGAAAAUAAAUUGAAAGUAGUUAAAUCUAGAAUGAUAGAAUAAUAAUAAUAAUAAUAAUAAAAACAAUAGAAAGUUUGAUGUGUUAUUGCCGAAACCUAGAGGAAAAUUCUAUAUGAAAUAGUGGAGUUUAUGUUUUUUUUUUAAUAUAUAUAUAUAUAUAUAUAUAGGAUUUUUGGGAGAAAUAGGUAUCCAUGUAAAUAGAAAUUCUUAUGUGUAGGAGAUAAUAAUUGUAUUAAAAAAAAAUUAAUAGACUAAAACCUGGAGAUUGGUAUUCAUACAGUAAGAUUCCAAGUAUAUAGAAAGUAGAAUUACAUGGAACCUAAAAUUUGGUGCACAAUGUGAUUCUUUAUUUAAAACAAAUAGAAUUUAGUGCAUAGUAGGAUUCCUUGUUCAAAUGAAAUAGAAUUUGUUGGGAGAUACAUGGACUAAUAUUAAUUGUGAAGUUAAGAUGUAUUGUGUAUUGGUGUGAUACUGGAAGUGCAUGAGACAAACUUUUGGAGUGUUGGUAUAGGAAAUAAAGUUUUUUUAAAAAAAACUAAUCUAAUAUAAAAAUAUUGGAGGCCUCGAAUUUUAUUAUGUUAGGAUUCCAUAAUGAAUUAAAUUAAAUCAAAUUAAAUUAAUGUAAUUUAGAUUAGAUUAAUUAUAAGUGAGGGAAUUGAAAAGUUCAAGACAAUAAUUUCAAGACAAUUAAGAAAUGGAAAUUUGAUGUUUUUCCUAGAUAAAUGAAUAAUUUAUAUAUGUGUUACAAAACUAUACAUAUUUAGAAUAUAAUUAUUAUUAGAACAUUUGUUUAAAGAACCCUUAGAAUUUCUCAGGUAAUUCUUAGGAAAUUCUACUGCUUUAAUAUUUGGAGUUUGAGUCCAAUUAAGGGGACUAACUAAAUUUUUUUUUUUAUUUUAUAAAUAGUCAAAUAUAAUUUUCUUUUGAAAGUUUUAAGAAAUUGGAAAAUAAUUUUGUUAUAUUGUAUAUGUUUGCUUACACGUGUGAUAUGAAUUUUUUUGUUUAAAAGAAAAAAAAAAUUAGGACUAGUAAUCUAAUCCUUGUUAAUAAAGGAAAGUGUUUUGACUUUCAUUACCUUUGGUGAAGGUAAUGAUAAUUUGUAAACCCAAUCAUUAGAUUUGUCCUGGCUCCGCCCACCAUCAUGUAAGGAACACAUGAGGUUAGCUAUUUCUAUUAGUCUCAUUACAAUGGGCACCUCUCUAAGUCCAAAUUUUGAUGGGCAUUUUCUGUAAAAAGUUAGAAUUGUUCAUUUAAUAUGUUUGCAAAAUAAUGUUAUGCUUAAAUUAUUUUAAAAAUGACACAUGUAAUAUUAGUUGUUUUGUUGUGUUUAAAAGCAUGCUAUAAAGAUUCCUUAUUUCAUUUUUGGAAACACGCAUACUUGAUUUUCAUACCCCUCAUCGGACUUUAAACUCACUCCUUUUACUAAAAUGUUUUUAGAUAUACAUCUAAUUCUAGCAAUGAGUGAUUCGAGUAAGAGGGUUUUUCAUAGAUCCAUUUAGUUCUUAGUUUUAAGUUUAAUGUCAUAAUAACAUUUUGUUAUUAUAGUUUAAUUUAUCAUUACUAUUUUAGAUAAUAUGUUAUAUUUGAAUUAUAGAUUUCGUGCGAAAGAAUAAUUUUUUAUUAUUUCUUUGAAGAUAUAUGAUCAUUUUGAAAGUUUGCUUCUAAAAUGACCUUGGUGUUUAGCUUACGGGUCAGUAUCGUUAUACUAGACCUUCUAUUUGUAUUAUGAAACUACAUAGAUUUUUCCAUAAUAUAUUAUAUUAUAAAUUUAUCAAAUUAUUAGUUUAGCAUGAUGGCCCUAGGUUCAUAUUGAUUAAAAAAUUAUUUAAUUGAGGUUCUCUAUUAAUUAAAUAUUAAUUUAAUUGUCAGAUACUCUUAUUAUUAUUAUUUUUUAUAAAAUAUUCAAAAAUAUUCUUUGUUAUAUCUUUAACUUAAAAAUAUUUUAAAAAAAACAAGAAUAAAAAAACAUCACCAAACAAGCCCUUAUUUAUUUGUUUGUUUUUUAUGUUUUGUUUGCUAUUGUGGUUUUGUUUAGUUGUCAAGAAGUGUGAGACAGUUGAAGAAAUUGAAGUUUUUUUUUUAUAUAUAUAUUUUUUUAAUAGUAUAGGCAAAAAUUCCAAAGGUUUGAAUUGCUUCAAUUUGUUUGUUUGACUUAUGAGAAAAGGUGGGACAAAUACUUCAAUGAGUUUAUAAUCAUCAGUAGUUAACUUACUUCUCUAUCGAAAUGGUUUAAUCAUUCACACUUAAAUUAAAAGCUGGAUUAUCAAAUCCAUUUCCCUUCAUGGAAACUAGUAACUUGAUCCAUCUACUGGUCAUUUAUGGCUUGAGGUCUUGUGCCAUGCACUCUUAAGUUGAUUUCUAGCUAGAAGUCGUAGUGGUAGGGUAUUCAGGAAUCCUUGUCAUAAAAUGUUGUAAAAUUUAUUUUGUGCAAAUUGUUAAGCUACAACUCAAACCAAGGAGUUAUAUACCAUCUAGAUUGCUUGGAUGAAGAAUAUAGACCAAAUCUAUGUAUGUAUGAUAGUUGUUAAUAGGUAGCAAUAGUGGAGUUAAGCUUCAUAGGAUACUGUUUACUGAUAAAGUUUACAUCUUAUAUAGGAUGGAACGAGUUUUUGAACUUUUGUUAACAUAGAAAAACUAAUUGGGUUAGAAUUCUGGCAUAGGUUUUUGCUAUGGUGAAUCAAACAUUCGGGGGACAUCUACCUAUGACACUCCCAAGACAACUAAUUAGUUCUUCACUAGAAUGAGAUGAUCGAUCUCUAUUUGAGCAAUUGGUUAGAUUAAUCCGAUAACUUUUUUUUUAAUUCUCCCAAUAAGAAAACCUUUCUUAAUUAUUCCAACAUGAGAAAUUUUUUUUCUACCUAUGGUUUUUUCAAUGACUAAAUAUAUUUAUUCCUUAGUAUCUAGUACUUUAAGAAAAACAAAAGUUAAAUUGAUUUUAUCAAAAUCUAAAACUUAAUUAAGUCAGAUAAUUAAAAUAUAAUUAAUUGAAAGUUAUCUUAAGCACAUUAAAUUUUACCUCUUACCACCUAAAAUGAUUUCAAAUUUUAUAGUUGUGAUAGAUCCAAGUUGUCCGAAAAGGUCUAUAGAAUAUGCAUUCUUUUACUUAUAAACAAUGUCUUAAAUAGUCGAGGUAGAGUUAUAUAGGGUCAUGGAUUUCUUAUUUUAUUCGAUGUGGGAAAUCAUAAUACACACUUAUCUCCUGUGAAGAGGGACCGUAACCAGGUUGGCUCAUAUAAAAUAACUAAAUUGGAAAUUGGUCUCUAGAUCUUAACUUUGGGUCGCGUCUAGAGGACGACAAACUACCGGUCAGUGUACAGCAGAAGAGAAAGUGAGACAGGAUACUUAUACAUCUCUUGAAAUUAAUUAGUCUUUGAGUCAAAACAAAGAGGAAGCAGCUCACAAUUCCUCCAAAACAUCAUUGCAAACGUCAUAGCUCUGUUUCCCCAAAUUCGUCAUUACAAACGUCAUUCCAUACUCUGCCUUCCUUAUUUAAAGAGUCCCAUGCAGAUGCAGAUGCAGUUCGAUACACAAGUCAGAUUUGAUCAUCCUCUACAUAGACCCAACCGAAGUAUCUCCACUUCAUCUUCUUCCCCUACAAUGACACAACCCCACUUCAUUGUGAUAACCUAUCCCGCACAAGGCCACAUCAACCCUUCUCUCCAACUGGCUAAGCGCCUCAUACGUGCUGGUGCCCAUGUCACAUUCGUCACUAGCACCUAUGCCAGUGAGCGCAUGACCAAAACCCCCACCAUGGAUGGUUUAAAAUUUGUCACAUUCCCGGACGGCUGCGACAGUGGCCUCAAGCAAAGCGAUGCCCUCCAAGGCUUCAUGUCUGAGCUUGAGCGUCUUGGCUCCCAAGCUCUUACCGACCUCCUCAUAGCCAGCGCUAAUGAAGGUCGUCCCGUUACUUGCAUAAUCUACGGCAUCCUGAUUCCUUGGGUAGCAGAGGUGGCGCAUAGUCUUCACAUCCCCUCCGCACUUUUUUGGAGUCAACCUGUCUCUGUUUUUAAUAUCUAUUAUUAUUAUUUUUGUGGCUAUGGAGAGGUCAUUCGCAAGAAAGUCAGUGACUCCUCGCCUUCCAUUGAAUUACCAGGACUGCCCUUGCUCGGUAGCCGUGACAUUCCCUGUUUCCUACUCCCCUCAAAUGCAAAUGAAUACAACUUUGUCCUUUCAGCGUUUCAGAAGCACGUAGAGAUGCUCCACCGUGACACCAACCCAACGGUACUGAUAAACACUUUCGAUGCAUUGGAACCAGAGGCCCUAAGGGCCGUCAGUAAGUUUAAGUCGAUUGGAGUUGGACCCUUGUUUCCAACCGCUUUCUUGGGUGGAAAAGAUCCAUCCGAUACUUCAUUUGGAGGUGAUCUGUUCCGUCGUUCAAAGGAUUAUAUUGAAUGGCUGAACUCAAAGCCUGAAUCUUCUGUCAUUUAUGUGUCAUUUGGAAGCCUCGCGGUGUUAUCGAAGCAACAGUCAGAGGAGAUUGCUCGUGGAUUGCUGGACAGUGGCCGGCCUUUCCUGUGGGUCAUAAGAGCCAAGGAGAAGGGAGAAGAGGAGAAAGAAGAAGAUAAACUAAGUUGCUACGCAGAAUUAGAACAACAAGGUAUGAUAGUACCAUGGUGUUCUCAGGUUGAGGUUCUCUCAAAUCCAUCACUGGGUUGUUUCGUGACUCAUUGUGGGUGGAAUUCAACCUUGGAGAGCUUGGCUUCUGGGGUGCCAGUUGUGGCAUUUCCUCAGUGGACCGACCAAUCCACGAAUGCAAAGCUAGCCGAAGACGUGUGGAAAACGGGUGUACGGGUGACCGUGAACCAAGAAGGAAUAGUUGAAAGCGAUGAGAUUAAGAGGUGCUUGGAAUUGGUCAUGGGAGAUGGAGAGGAGGCGAAAGAAAUGAGAAGGAAUGCAAAGAAAUGGAAGGGUUUGGCAAGGGAGGCUGUGAUGGAAGGUGGAUCAUCUGACAAGAAUCUUAAGAAUUUUAUGGAUGAGGUCAUACAAGGUUACUAGCUAGAUAUUGUGGUUGUAUCUCUUGGAGUUUAUGUUAAGACUCCCCGAUUAAUUUAAAUAUUUUACAAGAAGAUUUUUAUUAUUUAUGAUGUUAAUACAAGUAGUAGUAUUAAUUAAUGGUAGAGGGCAUAUCUAAAAUUAUGGGAGAUUCAUUGCUUCCUGAAGGCCCUAUCACAAAGGAUCUGUCAAAUGCGUGGCUAAGGUGCUGUUUGGUAAAUGUCCGUUACCAGCCAAAAUUUUGCAAUUAUUGCUAAUGGGAAUCAGGGAAACCCCAAACUGGCCUUGAUGGUCCUUGCGUGAAGACCCAUCCAAUUCUUUACAUUGUGGCCACUGAUUUGGUGUCUUAUCCUCUCAUGCCCAUCACUUCAUGUUUACAAAUUGAUAUUGUAUUCAUAGCUAUUUUUUAUGAAGGUUCAAUUGGCAAGAAGUAUUUUUGCCUUGGGAAGAUGUUGGUUAUGGAUUUAAAGCAAAAUAAAAGAUUAAAAAAAUGAUCCUUGUACAAAUUUUUGGGUGCCUCUAUUAAUUAAGUGAAUAUUAUUAUUUAAUUGAUAAAUUAAUAAUUUAUUAAUUUAAUUACUUAUUAAUUAGAUCUCUGGAAUAAUUCUAUUAUGGAACCUAUCUUGCACUAAGAAGCAUCCAUAGCGAUAAUAAUAUUAAAUAAAUUUUUGUUAUAGUACAAGAAUGUUACAUCAGACCUUUUUUUUUUUUUUUUUCAUAUUAGGAAUAGUUAAAGAUGAGAUUUAAGUAAACAUAAGUUUUAAGAAAAAAUAACACAUAUAUUUUACGAAGGAUUCUUGAUAAAACAUAUGAAUUUAAUUAUAUAUUAGAAAAUUAUUAAUUUUUAUAAUAUGUGGAUUUUAUAUGAAACUACAUAGAUUUUUUUUAUAAUGUAUUAUUUUAUAAAUUUAUCAAAUUAUUAGUUUAGCACGAUGACCCCAAAUUUAGAUUAAUUAAAAAAAUAUUUAAUUGAAGUUCUUAAUUAAUUAAAUAUUAAUUUAUUAUAAAGUUUUAUUGUAUUUUAUUUUCAUGUUCUGAAAACUAGUCGAUUUGAUUGGUUUGAGCAUUGAUUGACUAUGUAUUUUACAUAUGAGAUCGAUUAUGAGUUGCACUUUCAUCCCAAGGUAUUUAAAAAUUAGGAAAAUCAAUCCCAAGGUAUCUAUUUUACUUUUCUUAGUCUAUUCACCAUUGUCCAAACACUCCAUAAGUGGAAUGUAACUUGGAGGGGCUUGAAUAUGCAGAAUUUUAUAAUUUUGCACAUUAAUGUCUCAGAGUGUUAAAAUCUUUUACAACUAAUUGUAGAUAAGUUUAGUAUUGACAAAUAAUUUUAUUACAAUUAAAUUAUUUUUUAAUUUAUAAAAAGGUUAAAAUAAAGAUAUUUAAGAAAUAUAGUACCUUAACAAUUAAAAAUAACAUUGGUUGAUGAUAUCUAAGAAAUUCAAUGUUUUCUUCAACCUAAAAUGAAUAUAAAAAUUUGGUAUGAGGAUUGUUUGCUCGACUAUUGAAACUUAUUGACAACAUAGGAAGAGACAAAACUUUUGGGGAUAUAUUAAUAGAGUGAGGAAUUUGGUACUUGAUUCAUAGAGUAAAAGUUGAACAAAAGCAUCAAGAAACAUCGGGGUUGGAAAUGAUAGUGCACUUUUUAAAAGUCAUAGGUGGAAAGAGGGAAAAUUAGAACAGAUGAACCUUAAUUUUUUGGUAUUUUUGAUAGGUGUUUAGUAAAAUAAUUUAAUAUUACAAUUUAUAGUUAAAAAUGACUUAGUAUAUAAGCAGUUAAAAUGAUUUAGGGCUUGUUUGACCGUGUUUUUUAAAAUUUUCUUUUAAAAUAGAGAAUAAAAAUAGUGAACAUCAAGUUGUUGGAUGGACCAAUUUCUACUCAAUGCCAAAGACAGAACCACACGAAUAGUAGUUAGUUUAACCACAAAACUAAAGGUUUCAAGGAAAUCAAAACCGUGAGUUUGAUGAAAUCCUUUCACCGCUAAAUGUGCCUUAUAACAAUCAAUAGUUCCAUUAGGUUUAAACUUCAAUUUAUAAACCCAGUAACAUCUAAUGGUAUUCUGAUUAGACCAAGGAAGAAUGAUGACCUAUGUUUUAUUUUUCAUAAGAGCUUCAAAUUCAAGAUGCAUAGCCUAUUGCCAUUUAGGAACUUUAGCAAUUUCCUUAAAGGAAUUCAGUUCACAAAGUGGGGGAAAAAUAGUCUUAGUAGGAGACAAAAAUAACUUGAGUUCGAAAAUGCCAUUUUUGGCACGCAUUAUCAUGAGAUGACAAGUAUAGUAUGAACAUAAGAGGAAAGAGGUUGGGUUGUUGGAAUAGGUAUAACCUUAGAAAAGGAAAUUGGCACACUAGAAUUAGAUAUUGGAACCAACUUUGAAGGUGGACAUAAUGGGGGAGGUAAGAGGGAAGAUAUUGGAGAUGAUGGUACUACCAAGGGAAUGACACAAUGAGAGAGGGAAACAUAAUAAGGAGUCUGAACUAUGGAAGACUUAGCAAAUGGGAAAUCUAGUUCAUAAAAAAUAACAUGUUGUGAUAUAUGUAUUUUAUGAUUGGACAUGUUUAAAUAAAGAUAUUCUUUAUGCUUAGAACUAUAGUUGAUAUUUUAACGGAUUGAUAUGCAAGUUUAUGACAAUUAAAAGGAUGUAGAAAAGGAUAACAAAUGCAACCAUAGACAUGAAGAUAAUAAUAAUUUGGUAGACAAUGGUAAAGAGUCUUAUACGGAUCAAGAAGAGAUAUUCAACAUAGAGGUAGGAAGUCUAUUAAUCAAAUAUAAGGUAGAUUGGAAAGCAAAAGGUCAAUAUUUAAGUGGAAUAGAAGCAUGAGCAAGCAAAGAAAGACAUAUUUCAACCACAUGUCUAUGUUUUCUCUCCACAUGACCGUUUUGUUGAAAAGUAGAUGGACAAGAUACUCUAUGCAGAAUCCUAAAUUUACAUAAAGUAUCAAUAAAGGCUUGAAACUCCCCUCCCUAAUUAGUUUGAAGCACUCUAACUUUAGUGUAAAAUUGAGUCUCAAUUAUCACUUUAAAUUGCAAAAAAGCAGAGAUAGCUUGAUUUUUAGAAGCUAGUAGAUACAACCCCAAGAAAAUCUUGUAUGGUCAAUAAGAAAAAAGUACAAAGUAUCUUGCUCCAUUAGCACCAACAAUAGCGGUAGGACCCCAUAGAUCAAAAUGUAUAAGAGCAAAAGGCUAAGAGACUCUAGAUUUAGACAAAGUAAAAGGUAAGUGAUGACUCUUUGCCAUUUGACAAGGUUCACAAAUACCUAUCCAAUGUUUUGAGGGCAUACUAUAAGCACUCAAAACUUUAUUGACUAUUUUACGUGCAAGAUGACCUAAUUAAAAUGCCAUAGAACUACCUUAUUGGGAAGUUGUAAUGCAAAUAACAUACACAGGACCUCAAUUGCCAAGCUUGUUCUUCUAACAAUUUUAUUACAAUUGGAAUCUAUAUUUUUUACCAGAAGCUGAAGAUGACAAUUUGUAUAAACCAUGGUUAAGGUUGCCUUGGAGAAGAGCCUUCUUUGAAGCUUGAUCCUUCAUCACAAAUCCAUUAGUAAAGAAUUCCACAGUAACAUUAUUGUCAGUACACAACUUAUUCACACUUAUCAGAUUGGUUGUAAGUUGUGGAACAUGUAAAAUAUUCUUUAGAUUUAAAGACUGAGAAACCGACAAAAUAGUAGAGUAUCCAAUAUUUGAGAUAUUUAAGCAAUUACCGUUUCCAAUGACGACUUUGUCCAAACUAGCAAAUGGAGUAUGUGCAUUCAAGUUGUUGAAAUUUAGAGUUAGGUGAUAUGUAGCUCUAGUAUCCAUGUACCAACUUCCAUCUCCAAUAGUGGCCAGAGUUGCAAUCAUUGCAGCAAGAUGAGGUUACUCAAUUCUUAGGGUUCUUCUUUCUCAUUGGUUUUUGACUCAGAUGAGUUAACUUAGUUCCUAGAGCUCUUCCUCAAUGACAAACAAUUCUGAUUAGAGUGUGGCAAUGAGUUCAAUGAGCAAGCUGGUGAUUGGUCAAGGCCUCACCAGUGAUGAGGAUGUUGGUGAUAGCAACAAUCUAGUUGGAGAAAUGAUUUUUUCCAACACCUUCAAACACCGUAAAAAUGAUCAUAUCAUCAUCAUGAUCUUAGAUAAGAGAAACUUAAAGUUUUUUUUUUUAUUUCAAUUUCAAAUUCAAAACAAAAUUGCAGAGCACUAGAUACAAAAAAAAGAAAAAAGAAAAUAAAAGAACAAAAAAUCACUAUAGAAACCUUAGAAAACACACUAGGAAGAAAAAUCAUAGACAAACUCACAGAAGAAUUUUAUGGCUUUAGGAGUCGGAGCCGGAGCUAGAGAAGAGUCUUAAUGGACAUUGAGGAGGGACAAGAAGAGGUGUUCAACUAUAAUUUAUAUAGGCUAUAUAUAUUGUAAAUGUUGGCUUUAAAAUGUAUCUGGUAGUGACCCAAUGGAAGUGGAGUCUAUAGGAACAUCUAUGGUAGCGAUCCAAAAAUUAUUGCAGUUAUAGGAGAAUAUAUAAUAGCACUUUCAACAGUAAUCGUGACUAUGUAUAUUUCCUGGAAAAUUUCCCACCAAUCCCAAUCUCAAUCCCUUUAGAUGCAUGUGGUUGGAAUAUGCAUGAGGCCAUAUAUUAUGCGGUUGGGAUAUGAAUGAGGCUAUAUAAUAUUUUUAGUUGUGGAUUUUCUUAGCCCCUACUAAAACUAUAUUGCCAUUUCCUAUUCUUCUUGUAAUGUCAAGUUGGAAAGUCAAACUUAAUUUAAAAACUUUUUAAAUAUUAAACUUAGAGUUAGAGUUAGGUGGUGUUUGUUUUUUUUUUUUGUUGAAAACAAUUUGUUUUCAGAAUUUAAGUCGUUUGUUUUUCUAUUUUUUCAUGACUUAUUAUAUACUUUUUACCAAACAGAAAAAACCAAAAUAUGUAGUUUUUUCUAAAUAGAAAAAAUAAUAUGUUCAUUUUUUUUACUUUUUAAUACUUAAUAGAAAUAAAAUACUACAAAAACAAACAACCUAAUAUUUAACAUUAUUAAGUAUUAAGGUUCUAUUUAGAAUUAAAUAAAAAAAAAUAAAUGCCACAUUAGUUUCUAAAUGUUAAGGAGAACAUUUUAUUUUGAAUGAUUAUUUAGUGUUUGUAUUUGAGUAGUUAAGUCGUCAAAGGUCUCUGUAUUUGAUUAUUAAGAGUUUCUAUUUGGAUAAAUGUGAGUAUAUUUAUAAACAAAAAUUCAUAUAUAUAAUAUAUAUAUAUAUAUUUUAAAAAAGCAAUAGAAUACAAUAAAUUUUUAAUUCUCUCCUAUUUUAUCUUUUUUAUAAGUGUGUGUUUCUCUUUCAUCUAGACAACUCACACAAUACUAACACAAUGAGAGUAAAAGGAGAAGGGCAACAAAGAGUUGGAGCCGGAGAUCAUUGGAGGAACGGGUCAACUGUAGGCCGGUUGUCCAUGGGCUCAUAUAAGUAACAAAAAUUGGAAAUGGUUUCUAUAUCUUAGUGUCGUCUAGAAGACGACAAUCUACCUGUCAGUGUGCAGCAGAAGAGAAAGCGUGAUAUCUACUUCGAGUCAAAACAAAAGGGAACCAGCUCGCAAUUCCUCCGAUACAUCAUUACCGACGUCAUAGCUCUAUUCCCCCAAUUCGUCACUACCAACUUCAUUCUAUCUCCAUUACGCAUUAUUUAAAGAGUCCCCAUGCAGAUGCUGUUCGAAACACAAGUCAGCUUUGACACAACCCCACGUCAUUGUGAUAACCCAUCCGGCACAGGUCCCUGUCCAAAGACCCAUCUUACUCUUUACAUUGUGGCCACUGAUUUAGUAUCUAAUCUCAGGCAAAAUUCACUGGUUUGAUGAAGGUUAUAGAACAAAACUUGUGUUAUUCUUAUCUUUGUUUUUGAUGAACUUUAAAGCAUUUAAAAAGAUUCAACUGGUAAGAAGUAUUUUUGCCUUGGGAAGAUGUUGGUUAUGGAUUAAAAGCAAAAAAGACCCUUGUACAUAUUUUUGGGUACCUGUCAAGCAAAUUAAUGCACAUCCGAACAUCACAACUGUUGUCUCUUAAAUUCUUCCAAUUGACCUGCUUUCGUCUUAUUGAGCGUCUGGGUUACUUGAUAAUGCAAAAACUCAUACAGUUAUUUCGAUAAAUUAAGAGCCUCAGGCAUCAAGGAAAAUCUAUUAUUACUUAAUCGAUAAAUUAAUAAUUUAUUAAUUUAAUUGCUUAUUAAUGAGAUCUCUUGAAUAAUUCUAUUAUGGAACAAGACACCAUAACAAUAUUAAAUAAAUUUUUGUCACAGUGUAAGAAUGCCGCAAUAGAUGUAAUAUGAGAAUGUGAUAUUUAAUUAUGGGCCUCCGCUUAAAAUAAGUAAAUAAAUAAUUAAUAAUUAAAAUUUAAAUAAAAUAAAUAAUUAAUUAAUAAUUAAAAUACAAAUACUAGACUCACAUUCUGAGCAGCCGCUUCUAAACUCUUAUACGCUACAAAAAAACAUACACAAAGAAAUCUAGGAUUCUAGAUUUAAGUGAAGAGAAAGAGGAUUUGAUCUUUUUGUUCUUUCUCGAAAAUUUCAUGGUAAGUGAUACUUCUUAAAGAUUUUUUUUUUCAGUUUUUCUUCUUAGAAACUUUAAUUUCCUAAUAAGAUUCAGAAAUAAUUAAUAAAAACAAGAAAUUAAGAAAUACAUUGAAAGUAAUUAAAUCUAAUAUGAUAGAAACCUAAUAAUAAUAAUAAAAAUAAUAGAAAGUUUGAUGUAUUAUUUCUGAUACCUAAAGGAAAAUUCUAUAUGAAAUUGUGGAGUUAAUGUUUUUUUUUUUAAAUAUAUAAUAAUAACAAAAAACAAUAGAAAGUUUGAUGUGUUAUUGCGUAAACCUAGAAGAAAAUUCUAUAUGAAAUAGUGGAGUUAAUGUUUUUAAAAUAUAUAUAUAUAUAUAUACUAGAAAUUCUUAUGUGUAGGAGAUAAGAAUUCUAUUGGAGGCCUCCAAUUUUAUUAUGUUAGGAUUCCAUAAUGAAUUAAAUUAAAUUAAAUUAAUAUAAUUUAGAUUAGAUUAAUUAUAACUGUGGGAAUUGAAAAGCUUAGGAUGACAAUUAAGAAAUGGAAAUAUGAUAUUUUUUCUAGAUAAAUGAAUAAUUUAUAUAUAUGUUAAAAAACUAUAUAUAUUUAGAAUAUAAUUAUUAUUAGAACAUUAGUUUAAAGAACCCUUAUAAUUUCUCAGGUAAUUCAAAGGAAAUUCUACCGCUUUAAUAUUUGGAGUUUAAGUCCAAUUAAGGGGACAAAUUAAAAAAUAUUUAAGUAUAAUUUUCUUUUGAAAGUUUCAAGAAAUUGGGAAAUAAUUUUGUUAUAAGGUAUAUGUUUGCUUAGAUGUGUGAUAUGAAUUUUUUUUUGUUUAAAAGAAAAAAAAAAUAGGACUAGUAAUCUAAUCCCUGUUAAUAAAGGAAAGUGUUUUGACUUUGGGUCAUAUAAAGUAACUAAAUUGGAAAAUGGUCUCUAGAUCUUAACUUUGGGUCGCGACUAGAAGACGACAAACUACCGGUCAGUGUACAGCAGAAGAUAAAGUGAGACAGGAUACUUAUACAUCUCUUGAAAUUAAUUUGUCUUUGGUCAAAACAAAGAGGAAGCAGCUCACAAUUCCUCCAAAACAUCAUUGCAAACGUCAUAGCUCUGUUUCCCCAAAUUCGUCAUUCCAUACUCUGCCUUCCUUAUUUAAAGAGUUCCAUGCAGAUGCAGAUGCAGUUCGAAACACAAGUCAGAUUUGAUCAUCCUCUGCAUAGACCCAACCGAAGUAUCUCCACUUCAUCUUCUUCCCCUACAAUGACACAACCCCAUUUCAUUGUGAUAACCUAUCCGGCACAAGGCCACAUCAACCCUUCUCUCCAACUGGCUAAGCGCCUCAUACGUGCUGGUGCCCAUGUCACAUUCGUCACUAGCACCUAUGCCGGUGAGCGCAUGGCCAAAACCCCAACCAUGGAUGGGUUAAAAUUUGUCACAUUCCCGGAUGGCUGCGACAGUGGCCUCAAGCAAAGCGAUGCCCUCCAAGGCUUCAUGUCUGAGCUUGAGCGUCUUGGCUCCCAAGCUCUUAUCGGCCUCCUCAUAGCCAGCGCUAAUGAAGGUCGUCCCGUUACUUGCAUAAUCUACGGCAUCCUGAUUCCUUGGGUAGCAGAGGUGGCGCGUAGUCUUCACAUCCCCUCCGCACUUUUUUGGAGUCAAC
Molecule: long non-coding RNA, 38476 nt
Filed under: Vitis vinifera (wine grape)
Lineage: Eukaryota; Viridiplantae; Streptophyta; Magnoliopsida; Vitales; Vitaceae
Description: long non-coding RNA (VVIN_LNC001544)
Source: RNAcentral